UUAUUAAAUAAAGUAUUAUUAAACAAUAAUAUAAUUGGGAUACCUAAAUCAUAAAGCAAGCAGGUGUUAGUUUAGACUCUAUGAAAAAGUACUACAUAAAAAAUCAAGGUGGUCAUCACUAAACAACGAUUUUAUAUAAAUGGAGUGGUAUAAAAUUUUUAUAUAGUUAUUCAAAUAAUAAAAUAAUUAAUGAUAUUUUAUAACAACUGUAUUUUUCAUAUCAAUAGAAAUAGUAACAAUAAUAACAGGAGCAUAUAAAACUAUAAAGGCGUUUGAUAAUAAACAUAAGACUGAUAUGAACAGUGUAUUAAAAGAUCGAUCCAGAAGGUGAAUAAAAACGUCUUAUCAAAUAUCAUUCAAUAAUAUUUUGAUAGACGUAUGUUUUAUUGCUACUAUUACCUUUGAUGUUCCGAUGACAUAAAAUUGCUAAAACUCAUCGUCACCCCAUUAGUCUACAACAGAAACUCUUUCAAGACGUAGAUAAGGAAAAACAAAAAAUGAAAAUCGUCCUGUUGGCGCUAUUCGUGGCGGCUGUGGCUGCGUUCCCGGCUGAGAAGUCCAAGGAGUUGGAGCCAUCGCCUAUCGCUAUCCCCGAGCUAAUCUUGCCUGAAAUUAUUGAAGAACUGCCCAAACCUGAAGCCCAAUUCGGAGAGAUUUCAACGAUGGAAACGUCCAGGUGGCGGUUAAUACUCCCGAAGACCCCGGAAUGCUGGCUACCCUGCAAUCUUGGUUAAACAUGGUGAUCAACUACAUCAGCAACGGUGGUCAAACCUCUGAACAAAUUGUCUAAACGAAUUUUUUUAUGUGUAUUUGUAU
Danaus plexippus (monarch butterfly) is the source of this 816-nucleotide long non-coding RNA. RefSeq lists it as uncharacterized. NCBI's taxonomy places the organism in Eukaryota, Metazoa, Arthropoda, Insecta, Lepidoptera, Nymphalidae. The transcript is spliced from 2 exons. The record is from RefSeq and is a predicted model, not a curated record.